GACGAACGCUGGCGGCGUGCUUAACACAUGCAAGUCGAACGGAAAGGCCCUGCUUUUGUGGGGUGCUCGAGUGGCGAACGGGUGAGUAACACGUGAGUAACCUGCCCUUGACUUUGGGAUAACUUCAGGAAACUGGGGCUAAUACCGGAUAGGAGCUCCUGCUGCAUGGUGGGGGUUGGAAAGUUUCGGCGGUGGGGGAUGGACUCGCGGCUUAUCAGCUUGUUGGUGGGGUAGUGGCUUACCAAGGCUUUGACGGGUAGCCGGCCUGAGAGGGAGACCGGCCACAUUGGGACUGGGAUAGGGCCCAGACUCCUACGGGAGGAAGGAGUGGGGAAUAUUGCGCAAAGGGCGGAGGCAGGAUGCAGCAACGCCGCGUGGGGGAUGACGGCCUUCGGGGUGGAAACCGCUUUCGCGUGUGACGAAGCGUGAGUGAGGGUAAUGAGUAAAGAAGCACCGGCUAACUACGU
RNAcentral lists this ribosomal RNA (467 nucleotides) under uncultured bacterium. RNAcentral's name for it is "partial 16S ribosomal RNA". It matches the Rfam family "Bacterial small subunit ribosomal RNA", at positions 28 to 506 of the family's 1533-position model. The record is from RNAcentral.